AAUGAACGCUGGCGGCAGGCCUAAUACAUGCAAGUCGAACGGAUCCUUCGGGAUUAGUGGCGGACGGGUGAGUAACGCGUGGGAACAUACCCUUUGGUACGGAAUAGCCUCGGGAAACUGGGAGUAAUACCGUAUGUGGUCGAGAGACGAAAGAUUUAUCGCCAAAGGAUUGGCCCGCGUUGGAUUAGGUAGUUGGUGGGGUAAUGGCCUACCAAGCCGACGAUCCAUAGCUGGUUUGAGAGGAUGAUCAGCCACACUGGGACUGAGACAUGGCCCAGACUCCGACGGGAGGCAGCAGUGGGGAAUCUUAGACAAUGGGGGAAACCCCGAUCUAGCCAUGCCGCGUGAUCGAUGAAGGCCUUAGGGUUGUAAAGAUCUUUCAGGUGGGAAGAUAAUGACUGUACCACCAGAAGAAGCCCCGGCUAACUCCGUGCCAGCCGCCGCGGUAA
RNAcentral lists this ribosomal RNA (449 nucleotides) under uncultured bacterium. RNAcentral's name for it is "partial 16S ribosomal RNA". It matches the Rfam family "Bacterial small subunit ribosomal RNA", at positions 29 to 523 of the family's 1533-position model. The record is from RNAcentral.